ACUGCUCAGUAACACGUGGACAACCUGCCCUUAGGUUGGGUAUAAACCCGGAAAACUGGGUAUAAUACCCGAUAGGUCUCGAUUGCUGGAAUGCAUCGAGAUUUAAAGCUCCGGCGCCUAAGGAUGGGUCUGCGGCCUAUCAGGUAGUAGUGGGUGUAGCGUACCUACUAGCCUACGACGGGUACGGGUUGUGAGAGCAAGAGCCCGGAGAUGGAUUCUGAGACACGAAUCCAGGCCCUACGGGGUGCAGCAGGCGCGAAAACUUUACAAUGCUGGCAACAGCGAUAAGGGAACCUCGAGUGCCAGGUUACAAAUCUGGCUGUCGAGAUGCCUAAAAAGCAUUUCAUAGCAAGGGCCGGGCAAGACCGGUGCCAGCCGCCGCGGUAACACCGGCGGCUCGAGUGGUAACCGUUAUUAUUGGGUCUAAAGGGUCUGUAGCCGGCCGGAUAAGUCUCUUGAGAAAUCUGGCAGCUUAACUGUCAGGCUUUCAGGAGAUACUGUCUGGCUCGAGGCCGGGAGAGGUGAGAGGUACUUCAGGGGUAGGGGUGAAAUCUUGUAAUCCUUGAAGGACCACCAGUGGCGAAGGCGUCUCACCAGAACGGACCUGACGGCAAGGGACGAAAGCUAGGGGCACGAACCGGAUUAGAUACCCGGGUAGUCCUAGCCGUAAACGAUACUCGCUAGGUGUCGGCCACGGUGCGACCGUUGUCGGUGCCGUAGGGAAGCCGUGAAGCGAGCCACCUGGGAAGUACGGCCGCAAGGCUGAAACUUAAAGGAAUUGGCGGGGGAGCAC
Molecule: ribosomal RNA, 793 nt
Filed under: uncultured archaeon
Lineage: Archaea
Description: bacterial SSU rRNA
Rfam family: Archaeal small subunit ribosomal RNA
Source: RNAcentral